ACGGGAGGCAGCAGUGGGGGAUAUUAGGCAAUGGGGGAAACCCUGACCUAGCGACGCCGCGUGAGGGAAGAAGGUCUUCGGAUUGUAAACCUCUGUCUUCGGGGACGAUAAUGACGGUACCCGAGGAGGAAGCUCCGGCUAACUACGUGCCAGCAGCCGCGGUAAUACGUAGGGAGCGAGCGUUAUCCGGAUUUAUUGGGUGUAAAGGGUGCGUAGGCGGGAGGUCAAGUUGAAUGUGAAAUACCGUGGCUUAACUGCGGGGCUGCGUUCAAAACUGAUCUUCUUGAGUACAGCAGAGGCAAGCGGAAUUCCCAGUGUAGCGGUAAUAUGCGUAGAUAUUGGGAGGAACACCAGUGGCGAAGGCGGCUUGCUGGGCUGAAACUGACGCUGAGGCACGAAAGUGUGGGGAGCAAACAGGAUUAGAUACCCUGGUA
Molecule: ribosomal RNA, 434 nt
Filed under: uncultured Clostridium sp.
Lineage: Bacteria; Bacillati; Bacillota; Clostridia; Eubacteriales; Clostridiaceae
Also listed under: 1 other name
Description: partial 16S ribosomal RNA
Rfam family: Bacterial small subunit ribosomal RNA
Source: RNAcentral